Molecule: ribosomal RNA, 253 nt
Filed under: uncultured bacterium
Lineage: Bacteria
Description: partial 16S ribosomal RNA
Rfam family: Bacterial small subunit ribosomal RNA
Source: RNAcentral
GACAGAGGAGGCAAGCGUUGUUCGGAAUUACUGGGCGUAAAGGGGGCGCAGGCGGCCUGGUCAGUGGAAAGUGGAAGCCCGGGGCUCAACCUCGGAAGGCCUUUCCAUACUGCCUGGCUUGAGUUCGUGAGAGGGAAGCGGAAUUCAGGGUGUAGCGGUGAAAUGCUUAGAUAUCCUGAGGAACACCGAUGGCGAAAGCAGCUUCCUGGCACGAUACUGACGCUCAUGCCCGAAAGCGUGGGGAGCGAACAGG